RNAcentral lists this ribosomal RNA (486 nucleotides) under uncultured bacterium. RNAcentral's name for it is "bacterial SSU rRNA". It matches the Rfam family "Bacterial small subunit ribosomal RNA", at positions 28 to 496 of the family's 1533-position model. The record is from RNAcentral.
GAUGGACGCUAGCGGCAGGCUUAAUACAUGCAAGUCGAGGGGCAUCAAGGUACACGAAAGUGUAUUGUUGGCGACCGGCGGACGGGUGAGUAAUAGGUAGGUAACCUACCUCAUACUGAGGCAUAGCUGGGAGAAAUUCCAGGUAAUUCCUCAUGAGGUUAUAUGACACAUGUGAUAUAAUCAAAGGUAUCGCAAGGUACUGGUAUGAGAUGGGCUUACUGACCAUUAGCUAGUUGGUGAGAUAAGAGCUCACCAAGGCGAAGAUGGUUAGGGGUUUUGAGAGAGAGAUCCCCCACAUUGGAACUGAGAUACGGUCCAGACUCCUACGGGAGGCAGCAGUAGGGAAUAUUGGGCAAUGGGCGGAAGCCUGACCCAGCCAUGCCGCGUGAAGGAAGACGGCCUUAUGGGUUGUAAAACUUCUUUACUAUGCGACUAACUAGAUUUACGAGAUAAUUCUAUAGAAUGUAGCAUAGCAAAAAGCACCGG